GGGAAGGCGAGCAAAUGGUUUGGGAUCUGACAGUCCACUUCACAUCCCUCUCAAAAUCACUUAAGAAGUACCUAAACAGUGGGAGAUUAAGUUUGAGUUUCCCUUUGUGUAUGGAAUGGACCCAAACUUACGUAGAUCUGCUUUAUUGGUAUGCAAGAAAAAAAAAAAAAAGUGAGAUUGAAAGGGAACGAUGACUAGAGAAGAAAAAAAAAAAAAAAAAAGAUGAGAGCCUGAAGUUUACUGCUUUGCAGGAGCCGAACAGCUCAUACAUUUGAUUAGAGAGUUACGCAAUAUUUGUUGCUCUGCAAAACCAGCGAUUAUCUGGCAUGAUCAGCUCCGCAUGCAAAUUUUGGGCUAAGAAAUGGGAUAUCCUGAUAAUUCAAUGCAACCUUACUUCCGAGGACUGCCGCGAACUGCCCUCUCCGAAGAAACCACCCACAUAAUAAUGACCCUGGAGAGCAACGCAAAACCCAACUGGCUUCCACACAAACUUCGCCAAAUUACUGGGCUCGCCUCAAGACAGACAAACUGGCAAGAGAUUCUGCGAGGGGGAAAAAAAAAUAAAACACGACAACUACCCACAAAGGGGUUGGUAUUUUUUUAAAGGCAGUAUCUAAAAGCCUCCGUCACCGAGCUACUGCAAAAUCCUUCAUUCCAAGUCUACUAUCUCCAGGUGACCUCACAGGCUUUGUUUUUCCUUCUUAUUCCGUUAUGUUAUUUCUCUUUCUCUUUCUUAUUUUCUUCCCUGUUUCUUUCUCACUCUCUUUCUUAUAUUUUGUCUAUUUUCUUCCUCGAUUUCUUUCUUUCCUUCUUUCAAUUUCUUUCUCUACCUUCUUUCCGUUCUUCUUUCUCUCUCCCUUUCUCUCUUUUUCUCACCUUUACGCUACACUUUUUGGGGGAAAUUCUCACUUAAACAGAUUUCCAACACCCCUGAUUUCUUCCAGUGCCUCCCUUCUUCAUCACCCCACCCUUUUCUUUCUAUUUCCCCCACCCCCGGGUACAGGGGAGAGGGAGAUGGGGAAUGGAAUAGAAAAGGCAGCUUGACAAAUGCAUUUUCUCAAAGAAAAAAUUAAAUGAAGAGAAACAGAUAUUAUUCCCUUACCUUUUGACGUCCAUUUCUGUGGUAUAAGUAAAAUAUAUAGGGAGGGAGAGACAGCGUUUGCUUAUCUGUUAGCUGACAAAUAUU
Long non-coding RNA from Aquila chrysaetos chrysaetos, 1186 nucleotides. RefSeq lists it as uncharacterized. The record is from RefSeq and is a predicted model, not a curated record. The transcript has 3 exons. Lineage: Eukaryota; Metazoa; Chordata; Aves; Accipitriformes; Accipitridae.